Molecule: transfer RNA, 73 nt
Filed under: Iotrochota birotulata (green finger sponge)
Lineage: Eukaryota; Metazoa; Porifera; Demospongiae; Poecilosclerida; Iotrochotidae
Description: tRNA-Leu
Rfam family: tRNA
About the family: Transfer RNA (tRNA) molecules are approximately 80 nucleotides in length. Their secondary structure includes four short double-helical elements and three loops (D, anti-codon, and T loops). Further hydrogen bonds mediate the characteristic L-shaped molecular structure. tRNAs have two regions of fundamental functional importance: the anti-codon, which is responsible for specific mRNA codon recognition, and the 3' end, to which the tRNAs corresponding amino acid is attached (by aminoacyl-tRNA synthetases). tRNAs cope with the degeneracy of the genetic code in two manners: having more than one tRNA (with a specific anti-codon) for a particular amino acid; and 'wobble' base-pairing, i.e. permitting non-standard base-pairing at the 3rd anti-codon position.
Source: RNAcentral
GAGGAUAUGGUGAAAAGGUAAACACGUUUGAUUUAGGGUCAGAUUUUUGUAGGUUCGAUUCCUAUUAUCUUUG